AUCUCCACCACUAUCACUAGCAGGUCUACUGGACUGAGUGGAUACAUCUCCACCACUAUCACUAGCAGGUCUACUGGACUGAGUGGAUACAUCUCCACCACUAUCACUAGCAGGUCUACUGGACUGAGUGGAUACAUAUCCACCACUAUCACAAGCAGGCCUACUGGACUGAGUGGAUACAUCUCCAUGUGUGGAGGUACUGGCUCCACCACUAUCACUAGCAGGUCUACUGGACUGAGUGUAUACAUCUCCACCACUAUCACUAGCAGGCCUACUGGACUGAGUGGAUACAUCUCCACGUGUGGAGGUACUGGCUCCACCACUAUCACUAGCAGGUCUACUGGACUGAGUGGAUACAUCUCCACCACUAUCACUAGCAGGCCUACUGGACUGAGUGGAUACAUGUCCAUGUGUGGAAGUACUGGCUCCACCACUAUCACUAGCAGGUCUACUGGAAUGACUGGACACAUCUCCACCACUAUCACUAGCAGGUCUACUGGACUGAGUGGAUACAUCUCCAUGUGUGGAGGUACUGGCUCCACCACUAUCACUAGCAGGUCUACUGGACUGAGUGGAUACAUCUCCACCACUAUCACUAGCAGGUCUACUGGACUGAGUGGAUACAUCCCCACCACUAUCACUAGCAGGUC
This 650-nucleotide long non-coding RNA is filed under the name Salmo salar (Atlantic salmon). RNAcentral's name for it is "lncRNA (ENSSSAG00000101322.1)". Lineage: Eukaryota; Metazoa; Chordata; Actinopteri; Salmoniformes; Salmonidae. The record is from RNAcentral.